This 301-nucleotide ribosomal RNA is filed under the name uncultured bacterium. Its description in RNAcentral is "partial 16S ribosomal RNA". It matches the Rfam family "Bacterial small subunit ribosomal RNA", at positions 509 to 809 of the family's 1533-position model. The record is from RNAcentral.
CAGCAGCCGCGGGAAUACGUAGGUGGCAAGCGUUGUCCGGAAUUAUUGGGCGUAAAGGGCUCGCAGGCGGUCUCUUAAGUCUGAUGUGAAAGCCCCCGGCUCAACCGGGGAGGGUCAUUGGAAACUGGGAAACUUGAGUGCAGAAGAGGAGAGUGGAAUUCCACGUGUAGCGGUGAAAUGCGUAGAGAUGUGGAGGAACACCAGUGGCGAAGGCGACUCUCUGGUCUGUAACUGACGCUGAGGAGCGAAAGCGUGGGGAGCGAACAGGAUUAGAUACCCCGGUAGUCCCUGUCUCUUAUAU